Small nucleolar RNA from Hibiscus syriacus, 106 nucleotides. The record is from RefSeq and is a predicted model, not a curated record. Lineage: Eukaryota; Viridiplantae; Streptophyta; Magnoliopsida; Malvales; Malvaceae.
AUAUGUUUAUGGGAUAUUUUUGUAAAAGCUCAUUGUAUCACUCCCAAGCUUCAUACAUGGACUCAUCAUUUGCCUGCGGAAAAUAAAUUAUAUCGUUAUGCAAUUU